Molecule: long non-coding RNA, 561 nt
Filed under: Capsicum annuum
Lineage: Eukaryota; Viridiplantae; Streptophyta; Magnoliopsida; Solanales; Solanaceae
Description: long non-coding RNA (CANN_LNC018716)
Source: RNAcentral
UACAUAAUUCUUGCAUGUAUAAAUAACAAAAUGAGUCAAUCAUAUACAUUGCGUAUUAAUGUAUGUGGAGUAGAAAUAAAAGUAGUUCUCAUAAAAAAUGCCACUUUACCCCUAAAAAUACAUAGCUAAACAAUGUAUAAGAAAGCAAUAAAAUUGAAAAAAAAAUACAAAUUCAAAAGCAAAUCACAAAACCUUUAAAAGUCGAGGUCGUGAUCCUUUAAUUUUUUUCUUACUUGAAGAUUUCGUAACUUUACCCAUAUACAUGCCAUAGCUACGAUAACAAUGUUCUUACUUGAAGAACAUCGAAGAACCCCUACCACCACCAACAUAAUUCGUUGAGGUUGUGUCAAUCCUUCAAAAAUAGAUAACAUCAAAGAAUCACCAUCACCACCAGCAUGGUUCAUAGGCAAAAAUGGAUUAGAGGGGGCACUGGCGACGUGGUUCGCCGGCAAAGAGAUUGGAAAACUAUGUUAUAUUUGACUUGUUGCGGUAUAAAAAAUGAAGAUUAUAAAUUCAAACCUUUUGAAUAGUGAAAAUAUAGUUACUUUAUUUUAGGCAUAA